Long non-coding RNA from Talpa occidentalis (Iberian mole), 1547 nucleotides. RefSeq lists it as uncharacterized. The transcript has 10 exons. Lineage: Eukaryota; Metazoa; Chordata; Mammalia; Eulipotyphla; Talpidae. The record is from RefSeq and is a predicted model, not a curated record.
GGCAGGGGGAGGGCCCUCUCUCAGGCCCUCUCUCAGAAAGUGACUCUGUGUCACUUUCUGGAAAUUUAUCAUCAUUUCUGCUGAUCCCGAGUGACUUGGGUUAACUUUCACGUUUUUUCAUUUUUCUGAAAAUGUUGUGUAUGAUACCAAUCCUUCCACCAUUUGCUUUCGUUUCAGUGCCUGCAUCAUAAAUGGUCUGUUUUGUGAGAGAGGUCAAAAGCAUUCACAAAUAACCCGACCCCCAUGCCAGGUUGUCCACUGUCAUUUUGUGUUCUGGCAGCUUCUACGGUGUCUUUCCUUCCUGACCCUGGCUCAGACGCCCUCAACUCCGUUGAGUCAUCUUCUGUGUGGACUCUGUGCGGUGUCUGUCCUCAUACAAGUGACGGUGCACUUCAACCCACGUUAUUCAAGGUCAAUGAUGGAUAAGAUUCCCCAGAGAGGGCCUUGAGAAUCCCACGUUCAUCUGCCUCGCGCCCCAUGGUUCCCUGGCUCAUGGGCCAAGCGGUGAUCAUGCCCGCCCACCGUGCGCACAUAACCACACCUGAAGAGUGGGAUGAACUGCAGACGUUCUGCCUGGAUGGCCCCAGCCUCAUCCAUUCAGCGCCUUAUUGAAGUGGCAGCAUUGGACUGCUACUACCAACCUAAAGGAUGCUGAGGAUAAGAAGAAAGCAAGGGUGCAAAGUGCCUGGCAUAGCAGAGGAAGCGCAACAACUGGCUCCAUGUUUUCUAUUAACUUUGACAAGGGACCACUCUCUGGUCGUAGAAGAUUCUGUUUGGCCCAGUACCAGUGCAGAGGAGACCCACAGGGAUGAACCAACACCUUGGAUGAAUGGAUCCCCACCCUCCAACAAUGAGACCCACUGGCCAGACCCCUUUCCCAUGUCUCACUGGGCAAUGAGAGCAGAGGAAUGCCUUCACUCAUCAGCAACCCUAAAGCCAAGGAGAACCUUCCAGGAGGCAGGAGGCUGUAAGGGAGGAAGUGGAUCAGCAGCAGGAGCCACACCAGGCUGUCUUCCUUGGAGGACCUCUGAGUUUCAGCCUAACAGGGCCUUGUGCAGGUGCAGCCUCAUUGCACCCUGUCCUCAGAGCACAGGUUCACACAGACCACAGGUCCAGGCCCCAGUGGACUUGUCCUCCCACCUCAAAGACAUCAGUACCAGCCAUGAAGCAGCCCCCACUCUGAUGUCUGAAUUUCAACUCCACAGCCUCUUCUCUGUCCAUGAAGACAUGAUUACCACCCCAUUUCACAAAGGAGGACACUGAGGCUCAGUGUGGGGAAACCAAAGCCAUGAAGCUGAGGCACUAGAUGAAGAGUCUGAGCACCUGAUCUGGAGUACUUGUUCCACGCUGUCUCACUUGACCUGUGGCCUCAGUUUGCCCACCUGUAAAGUGGGGCUGCAGCUGGGUGUAGUGGCAAGAAUGCGGGCUCAGUACUUGCUUCAGACCCCAGUUCUGCUGCUCUUCUGUAAGUGGAAGACGAAGGGACAUCUACCUCAAGGGCGCUGUGAAGACUAAACCAGAGGCAGCACUUAGGUGACCUGGAAUGA